Molecule: ribosomal RNA, 87 nt
Filed under: Shewanella colwelliana
Lineage: Bacteria; Pseudomonadati; Pseudomonadota; Gammaproteobacteria; Alteromonadales; Shewanellaceae
Also listed under: 2 other names
Source: RNAcentral
UGAUCCCAUCCCGAACUCAGAAGUGAAACGCAAUCGCGCCGAUGGUAGUGUGGGGUCUCCCCAUGUGAGAGUAGGUCAUUUCCAGGC